CGCCCCCCUGCUCUUCUCCCCGUACUGAGGGGCACGGGCACGGGGGGGACAGGGACGGGGACAGGGACACCCCCGGGAGUGACGGUGACACCCCCAGGACAGACAGGGACAGGGACAGGGACACCCCCGGGAGUGACGGUGACACCCCCGGGACUGACAGUGACACCCCCAGGAGGGACAGGGAUGGGGACAAUCCUGGGGGUGACAGGGACAGGGACACCCCCAGGAGUGACGGUGACACCCCCGGGAGUGACAGUGACACCCCUGGGACUGACAGUGACACCCCCGGGAGUGACGGUGACACCCCCAGAAGAGACAGGGACAGGCCUGACAGGGUGACCUCACAGGGUGACACCCCUGCGGGUGACAGGGACGGGGACACCCCCAGGAAUGGCAGUGACACCCCCAAGGGUGACGGGGACACCCCUGGGAGAAACGGUGACAAUCCUGGGGGUGACGGUGACACCCCUGCGGGUGACAGGGACAAUCCUGGGGGUGACAGGGACAGAGACAGGGAUAGUGACACCCCCGAGGGUGAUGGUGACAAUCCCAGAGGUGACAGUGACACCCCUGGGGGUGACGGUGACACCCCCAGAAGUGACGGUGACAAUCCUGGGGGUGACAGUGACAAUCCCGGGGGUGACAGUGACAAUCCUGGGGACAACGAACCCCCCCGGAACAGCCCCUGGGAAAAUCCCGGGACAAUUCCUUGGGAAAACCCUGGAACGGCCCCUCCCCCCGCCCCGGGAAUUCCCCUGGGAACAACUGGACAACAGUCGGCGCCUGGCAACCGUUGCCUGGCAACCGGGAAACGCCUGGCAACGGCUGCCUGGCAACCUUUAAUGAGCGACUGCGCGGUGACGGGCACGGGGUGACGGUCAGUGACGGUCAGUGACGGUCACUCAGUGAUGGUCACUCGGUGACGGUCACUCAGUGACAGCGAUGGUCACUCGGUCACUCGGUGACAGUUGGUGAUGGUCAGUGAUGGUCACUUGCUGAUGGUCACUUGGUGACGGUCACUCGGUCACUCGGUGAUGGUCAGUGAUGGUCAGCAAUGGUCACUUGGUCACUGAUGGUCACUCGGUCACUGUCACUCGGUCACUCGCUGGUGGUCAC
Molecule: long non-coding RNA, 1116 nt
Filed under: Cyanistes caeruleus (blue tit)
Lineage: Eukaryota; Metazoa; Chordata; Aves; Passeriformes; Paridae
Description: lncRNA (ENSCCEG00000003384.1)
Source: RNAcentral